UACUUUUAACACKUUUGACCUCGGGAUCAGGUAG
Molecule: ribosomal RNA, 34 nt
Filed under: Phaeosphaeriopsis sp. RHP-2017a
Lineage: Eukaryota; Fungi; Ascomycota; Dothideomycetes; Pleosporales; Phaeosphaeriaceae
Description: partial 28S ribosomal RNA
Source: RNAcentral